This 30-nucleotide small RNA is filed under the name Bombyx mori (domestic silkworm). Its description in RNAcentral is "piRNA piR-bmo-1572074". The record is from RNAcentral. Lineage: Eukaryota; Metazoa; Arthropoda; Insecta; Lepidoptera; Bombycidae.
UGCCAGGUCUAUAGUGCUCGGACGGAGCGU